GAAUACUCGGGGAAGAGCAGCUGGCUCCGACGUUCGCACGACGUCCACACGACGUUCGCUACUGCGGCGCUUCGCUAUUAUUGUACGGACGGCAAGCGGACUUCUGGGCGAGAGAUGAAUAAUAAACCUGCGUGACCUCCCCCCCCCCGCCCCCAUCAUCAAAGAAAUACGGAGAGAUUAAGAAGGGCACAUGCUGUAAAUUUCCAGAGAGACAGAGAGAGGAGCGAUUCAGUCGUGGAGCUCUUCCUCCCUGCGAAGAGCGAACGCUUCAUCACCAGCCCCCGCCACCGCUGCCGGGCGAGAUAUCCCACUGGCCAAGAUGAGCCGCAAUCAACCGCAUUAUACAGCGAUGCAUAAA
This is a long non-coding RNA of Lethenteron reissneri (Far Eastern brook lamprey), 358 nucleotides long. RefSeq lists it as uncharacterized. The record is from RefSeq and is a predicted model, not a curated record. Lineage: Eukaryota; Metazoa; Chordata; Hyperoartia; Petromyzontiformes; Petromyzontidae.